CCUACGGGUGGCAGCAGUGAGGAAUAUUGGUCAAUGGGCGAGAGCCUGAACCAGCCAAGUCGCGUGAGGGAGUACUGCCCUAUGGGUUGUAAACCUCUUUUGUCGGGGAGCAAAAGCCGGACGUGUCCGGCUGUGAGAGUACCCGAAGAAAAAGCAGCGGCCAACCCCGUGCCAGCAGCCGCGGUAAUACGGGGGAUGCGAGCGUUAGCCGGAUGUAUUGGGUUUUAAGGGGGCGGGUGCUGUGAGGUAAGUCAGCGGUGAAAUGCCCCCGCUCAAAGGGGUGAAGUGCCAUUGAUACUGCCUUGCUGGAAUGCGGAUGCCGUGGGAGGAAUGUGUGGUGUAGCGGUGAAAUGCAUAGAUAUCACACAGAACACCGAUUGCGAAGGCAUCUCACGAAUCCGCGAUUGACGCUGAUGCACGAAAGCGUGGGUAUCAAACAGGAUUAGAUACCCUUGUAGUC
RNAcentral lists this ribosomal RNA (460 nucleotides) under uncultured bacterium. Its description in RNAcentral is "partial 16S ribosomal RNA". It matches the Rfam family "Bacterial small subunit ribosomal RNA", at positions 338 to 795 of the family's 1533-position model. The record is from RNAcentral.